RNAcentral lists this ribosomal RNA (253 nucleotides) under uncultured bacterium. Its description in RNAcentral is "partial 16S ribosomal RNA". It matches the Rfam family "Bacterial small subunit ribosomal RNA", at positions 524 to 776 of the family's 1533-position model. The record is from RNAcentral.
UACAGAGGUCUCAAGCGUUGUUCGGAUUCAUUGGGCGUAAAGGGUGCGUAGGCGGCGCGGUAAGUCGGGUGUGAAAUCUCGGAGCUUAACUUCGAAACUGCAUUCGAUACUGCCGUGCUUGAGGACUGGAAAGGAGACUGGAAUUUACGGUGUAGCGGUGAAAUGCGUAGAUAUCGUAAGGAAGACCAGUGGCGAAGGCGGGUCUCUGGACAGUUCCUGACGCUGAGGCACGAAGGCCAGGGGAGCAAACGGG